AAUAAUAAUAAUAUAUUAUUGUUAUUAUUAUUAUUAUUAUGUUUUUAACUUUUUUUUAAAAUACAUUUUUUCCUCUCUCCCUUCCCUCACGUGUGCCCCCUCCCCCAUCUUUUUCUCUUCCUCUUCCUCGUGCCCUACCUCCAGCCGCACCCUCCAGCCGACCACCAUCACUUUUCUCCUUUUCUUCUCCGAUCCACGGCCGCCGCCUCUAUUUUUCUUCCUUCUUUUUCGUUUUUCUCUUCCGUUCAAACCACUACUGACUGCCUCUAUUUCCGACGAAGCCAAGAUCCAGUCGAGUCCAAGCAUCGUUCACGCAGGCACGCCGACGUCCGAUCUCUUCUCCUCGUCCCAUCGCCGCUGCACCAUUCUCCUGAGGUCGUCGUCCGUUCGUGUUGCACAGCCGAGUCGCGACUCCUUCGCGCGCAUAGUCCCACAGCCGAGUCAUUCGUUCCCCACAGAAACCACUCGUGAGUUGCGGGCCGUUUGUCCAAGCCGGCUUGCACUCCACUCUUUUGCUUGAUCUUUUGUUUAGGUUCGAUAAUUACUGUCUUUUUCCACUGUGAAGUCGAAUUUGUUUUGUUGGUAACAAAUUAAGUUUGGGUUGUGAUUAUUUCAAAGCUGUUCAAACGCUACGGUUGGGAUAAUUGGCUAAAUAGUUAACUUACUUCGAAGGUGUUGUAAGUAACGUGGGUCCCUUGUAUUCAUAACCAAUUUGUGAAUUUUUUGAGUUCGGCUUGCCAAUAUUUGGUAAGCUAGAAUCUACCUUGAGGGGAAAUUAAGUGGGAGUAUAUAUUGUGGAAAUAAUUGAGUUCAUAUUCUUAUGGUUAGGUGUUUUGGGUGAUAUAUAUACGUAUAGAUGUAGACUUGGUGUUGAAUGUAUACUGUGAAUGACUGGAAACAUAUAUGUACUUGAAUUGACGUAGACUUGAUAAUGAAUGCAUAUUGUGAUUGUCUUGAAUUAUAUAUAUAUAUAGAUGUGGAUGUAGACAGGACGACAAUUGUAGAUUGUGUUGUAUAAGAUGUGGAUGUGAACUUGUGAUUGUUGAUUUGAUUGGGUGUAGGUCAUACUAAAGUAUGGUUUUGUACUAGCGAAUUGAGGGGUGUUAUGACUUUAUAGUUUGUUUGACUGAUGUAUUAAAAUGUUACCGACUGUCAUUGGGCUAAAGUGAGAUAGGUUGUCUGUUAGAGUGUAGAGUGUUAAAUGAAAGGAUUAUAUGUUGAGGUAACUGAAUUGUACUAUACAUGACUGUUAAGAUGUUUAGAAUGGAUUAAGGGAAAAAUUGUUAGCUUUCUAUUGGGAUGUGUGCCUUUUAGGUAUCCUACGGGAUCACCACUUAUUGUGCAUCCUUUGGGAGCAUUACACUGAUAUGUGUUUCUGCAGAACACUAGACUUAUAUGUACGUCCCUCGAGGCGUUAGACUGAUUAUGUGUAUCCUACGGGAUCACAAAACUGUGACUGUAUAAGCAAAGGUAAGAAGGGAGGCAGAUCGACAAGGGGCAGGAAGGACGUGAUUGCCAUAGCGGAUAUUUUAAUUUGCUUAUGUUUAAUGUUUUGUUUUCUCAUUACGUUUUAGUACUGAGGACUGUUUAGAAAACUUUGUGGGUUAACUAAAUUCACGAACUGGUGAUUGUAAGCCUUUCUUUGAAAGUUUUUUUUAUUAUUUUAAACAGGGCCCGAAUUUAAAAUUUUGUUUU
Long non-coding RNA from Cucumis sativus (cucumber), 1695 nucleotides. RefSeq lists it as uncharacterized. The transcript is spliced from 2 exons. The record is from RefSeq and is a predicted model, not a curated record. NCBI's taxonomy places the organism in Eukaryota, Viridiplantae, Streptophyta, Magnoliopsida, Cucurbitales, Cucurbitaceae.